UGGGGAAUUUUGGACAAUGGACGCAAGUCUGAUCCAGCCAUGCCGCGUGCGGGAAGAAGGCCUUCGGGUUGUAAACCGCUUUUGUCAGGGAAGAAACGAGUUUCUCUAAUACAGAGACUUAAUGACGGUACCUGAAGAAUAGGCACCGGCUAACUACGUGCCAGCAGCCGCGGUAAUACGUAGGGUGCAAGCGUUAAUCGGAAUUACUGGGCGUAAAGCGUGCGCAGGCGGUUAUGUAAGACAGAUGUGAAAUCCCCGGGCUCAACCUGGGAACUGCCUUUGUGACUGCAUAGCUAGAGUACGGUAGAGGAGGAUGGAAUUCCGCGUGUAGCAGUGAAAUGCGUAGAUAUGCGGAGGAACACCGAUGGCGAAGCCAAUCCCCUGGACCUGUACUGACGCUCAUGCACGAAAGCGUGGGGAGCAAACA
RNAcentral lists this ribosomal RNA (427 nucleotides) under uncultured bacterium. RNAcentral describes it as "bacterial SSU rRNA". It matches the Rfam family "Bacterial small subunit ribosomal RNA", at positions 355 to 774 of the family's 1533-position model. The record is from RNAcentral.